CUAUUCGAGAGAGCCACGAGACUCUCCAGCCGAUCCGGUAAUCGACUGGACUUUGUUUUGAUUUAGCAAAGACUAUUUCAAAUUUAGUUAAUGGUUCGAAUACGAUGACACUGUCCCGUGCUAGGGCCGCAGACCUUUCGAACUGCUGCGUAGAUAGACUCGUCUAUAUAGUUACGUAAUUCAUGGUGGUUGGCGAAACGCAUCCUGCGUAUGGGGUUUCGUUACGCGGUAAAGUAAGGUAUUCUCGUGGAACCGUGAGGAAUAUAUCGUAGUUAACAGGAAUAUUGAUUAUCGGCGAGAACGCAAACGAUUUAAAUACGAGGAAGUUGGUCUACGUAAAGCAAAGCACUUUUGCAAAGAUGCGGCGUGAGAAAGAUACGUCGGUGAUCUUGAAAUCUUGAAACCGAAGUCGUCUCCCGACGUGACAUUGGGAAUCCCCUCUACCCUUCAGGUCAAGCAACUCUGCGCAAACAACUUCCCUCGUAUCUGCGCCGUGACGUCUUGGAAGGCGUAGAGAAACAACGAACGCGUGCAAUCGCAGGAGGCGCCGAUAAAUCUCGUGUUACGAGAAACAAUGUAUGCACGUCCCGACAAGAAGAACAAUCGGAAUUUUCAACAAUAAAACGCGCUAUUUUAUCAAGUAUGAACAUUCGACUGAACGCUAUUUUCAUCGGACCGUGUCUUAAAAACAAGAAAACAAGAAAGAAGGUAAUGCAAAGCGAGAUAACGGUUUAAUCACGAUUAUGGGUGAUUAUCCUGCCCUCUUAUCUGCUAUUUAAAUGAUCCGCGAGUGACGAUAAGAUUGCGACAGACUAAUUACGAAAUUUCGAUGGAUCAGCGAAAAUCGGCUGUCCGGACACAAAACUGGACACGAGUAACAUUGUUGCGUCAGUUACGAAUUUCAAUGUAAUAGCUCUAACAAUGCUGAUCCGUCUUUUUGAAAAUCAUAUUGUCUUUGUUGCAUAUAGAAAUAAACGAUGCAAGUGGGAUGUAGAAAAAAAGUAUUUGCCACGUGCAUAAGCUAGGUUCGGUCUACAGAUUUCGAAAGCUGACUUUUGUUAUGAAAUAGAAGUGAACAAUUCUUACGUUAACGUUAUGAAAAGUGUUCAAGAAUGAAAUUUGCAACGUACCUUUUGAAAUGAACCGUUGACCAGUGAUCGAUCGAUUUGCGGAGAACGAGCGAUAUUGUCGUUUAAAGGAAGUAUUCGGUAAUUAAUCGCCGAAGAGAAGUAGAGGAGUGAAUCGUUUAGAAUCGUUGAAUUGAGAAUUUGCAAAAUAAUGAACGAUCAAGAUCACGGGAACUGGACUAAGAAGCGUGAACGUCUUCGCACGCUGUAGUAAAUUGACACUAACCCGUCGCAGCUACAGUCUCAGAAGUAUAUAAAGGUUCCCGAGCCCAUGCUGCAUGAUGUAAUUUUCAACCCGGUUGGAAUAGAGCAGCCGAGAAAUGGUCAUGACACGGCAAGAUUCGAAAACAUUGCGCAAAUUAAAAUGAUCUAGCCAGUGCAAUGAUGUUGACAAUUUUCCUUACGAUAACCACAAUAUCGUUAUCGCGUCAUGUAAUUCGUAUUAUAUCUUCGAUCGCUGGAAAAGCUCAGUAUCAACAACGAUCGCAAUCUGUGCUGAAAUUGCUUCAUAACGAUACGUCGAUGUUUCUUGGCCACAGUCUUUGAGUUUCCUACGUAAUCUGUGAUUGGAGAGAAAUAGUUGAAAAAAUAAGCAACAGGAGAUACAGGUAGAUGAAAAAAUUGAUUCGCAGAUUUGUUUUGGUUGGAUAACAACAUAUAAUUACAAGUUGUGGUGUAAAAUUUUAUAAUUAUUUUGUCAGAACAAAUUACAUAAUUCACGAACUUAUUCCUAAACUAGAUACAUGCUAGAAAUUCCUAAAAACCUUAUCAGUUCAGAACACUGACAAAUGUAUUUCUAAAUGCCAAUAUGUCAUAUUGUGCAGCAUAUUAUAUCAUAGGUUUCUUUCACUGAAUGGAAGCAAAUGUACAGUGCAGUUAUAUUUUGCUAUUUCAAUUUACAUGGAUAAAAAAAAAAUAACUCAAUGAAUCCUUAAUACAAAAGAAUAUUUAAGUGUCAGGAACAAGACAAACCAAUACUUACAGCCGAACUUAAUUAAUAUGUUUUUACUUGUAAUACCCUUAUUCGAUAGAAUAAUCGAUAGAGAUACAGUCAAAUGGCAGUUUCUUGUUCCUUAUAAAUUAUCUUCUCUAGUACUAUUCACAAUUCUUUCAUAUUUGACAACUACAUCAUUCGAAUAAAUUGUUGUUUAUUUAAUUUUUCAUUUAAAAAGAACAAUCUACAGAAAUAGUUAUUUUCCUAAUGAAGAAGUGCAUUGUAAUUAAACUAUUUUGAAUCCACAGAGUAUAUUUUUUUUUGUUCUUCAAUUUUUUAGCACUUGCAUUUUUGUCUUACUUGUAGAAAAAUGAGGUAACUGUUUUACUACCUGCAUCAUUAAAGUAUGUAUAAAUAUUUGGAAUCAUCCUGCUAAAUUGAUUAACUUUAUUUCUUAGUAAUGUACAUAUUCAAUUACUUUAAUGCUUAAGUGAAACCUCAGCGAUUGUGUUGGACAUCUUUGGAAGGAAACCAAAUUUUUUAUCUCUAACCGAGUCUUCAAUAGUGUUAUAUAGUAAUUUAGGGCUGUGCACGAAAAUUCAUUUCUCAAACGUGCAGUACUUCACUUUAAACACUAACAAGGUUUAAUUUAUUCUUUGAAUUGGGCCUAUGUAAUGAUCAGUUGAAUGUUAAACUGUAUCACUUUGUUAUUCGCAGUAGUUUCUUUCCUUCUCCACUUCCUGUCCUCGACUGUUACAAGGGAUCUUACCCUCAUAUAUUUUUUAAGUCUUCUGGUAAAUCAUUCUUAGGAUGUUUGUUUUCAAAGUGUUGCUUAUACGUCUUUGGGUCUGGCAUCUGUGCCUGCAAACACAUUAAAUAGUAAAGAUUAAAUUCAUAAAUUUAUAUAAGAUAAUCAUAAAUCUUAAAUCUGUUAAUAAACUUACUUUACAAACUGUGCAUACAUGCACUAAAGCUUUCUGUGCUGCCUUUUUCUGAUCAUUGGCACUGUGUCCUUGUUGUUUUUUCACUUUUGCAGCCUUUUCUGCAGCCUUAGCUUGCGAUUGAAUUCUCUGUUGUCCACGAGCCAUUCUGCAAAAAAAGAUUCUAUUAUUCCAUCAAACCUUAACACGGAAGCUAACUUUUCACUUAAAAAUAAAAAUUCCUCGAGUUCCAUUAAACUGUGACAAUUGCAUUUAAUGUUUCGUGCUAAUUUUAAUACAAAAAUAAAUAAAAAUGUCAUCACUUAUAUUAACAAUCUUACUUGUUUGAAGGAUUCAAUGAUUGUACUAACAAACUUUCAAUAAACAGAAUAAGAAAGAAAAAGGC
Non-coding RNA from Nomia melanderi (Alkali bee), 3387 nucleotides. Lineage: Eukaryota; Metazoa; Arthropoda; Insecta; Hymenoptera; Halictidae. The record is from RefSeq and is a predicted model, not a curated record.